Molecule: ribosomal RNA, 482 nt
Filed under: uncultured bacterium
Lineage: Bacteria
Description: bacterial SSU rRNA
Rfam family: Bacterial small subunit ribosomal RNA
Source: RNAcentral
UUGAACGCUGGCGGAAUGCUUUACGCAUGCAAGUCGAGCGGCAGCGCGGGGGCAACCCUGGCGGCGAGCGGCGAACGGGUGAGUAACAUAUCGGAACGUACCCUGAAGUGGGGGAUAACGUAGCGAAAGUUACGCUAAUACCGCAUAUUCUAUGAGUAGGAAAGCAGGGGAUCGCAAGACCUUGCGCUUUAGGAGCGGCCGAUGUCGGAUUAGCUAGUUGGUGAGGUAAAGGCUCACCAAGGCGACGAUCCGUAGCGGGUCUGAGAGGAUGAUCCGCCACACUGGGACUGAGACACGGCCCAGACUCCUACGGGAGGCAGCAGUGGGGAAUUUUGGACAAUGGGCGCAAGCCUGAUCCAGCCAUGCCGCGUGAGUGAAGAAGGCCUUCGGGUUGUAAAGCUCUUUCGGCGGGGAAGAAAUCGCACUGGUUAAUACCUGGUGUGGAUGACGGUACCCGAAUAAGAAGCACCGGCUAACUACGU